GGUCCGAUUAGCUAGUUGGCGGGKUAAAGGCCKACCAAGGCGACGAUCGGUAGCUNGUCUGAGAGGACGACCAGCCACACUGGGACUGAGACACGGCCNNGDCUCCUACGGGAGGCAGCAGUGGGGAAUUUUUCGCRAUGGGGGBDACCCUGACGAAGCAAUGCCGBGUGGAUGAAGAAGGCCKUCGGGUUGUAAAGUCCKUUCGUGGAGGACGAAAAGGUGGGUUCUAAUACAAUCUGCUAUUGACGUGAAUCCAAGAAGAAGCACCGGCDAACUCCG
Molecule: ribosomal RNA, 279 nt
Filed under: Acidithiobacillus ferrooxidans
Lineage: Bacteria; Pseudomonadati; Pseudomonadota; Acidithiobacillia; Acidithiobacillales; Acidithiobacillaceae
Description: 16S ribosomal RNA
Rfam family: Bacterial small subunit ribosomal RNA
Source: RNAcentral